CGCAUAUUAGGAGAUGGCAUGCCUCCUUAAACCGCCACUGCACAUUCGCAGUGGCUGAUGAUGCCUACGCAGGG
Molecule: non-coding RNA, 74 nt
Filed under: Marinobacter salarius
Lineage: Bacteria; Pseudomonadati; Pseudomonadota; Gammaproteobacteria; Pseudomonadales; Marinobacteraceae
Rfam family: Fluoride riboswitch aptamer (crcB RNA motif)
Source: RNAcentral